RNAcentral lists this ribosomal RNA (297 nucleotides) under uncultured Sphingobacteriales bacterium. Its description in RNAcentral is "partial 16S ribosomal RNA". It matches the Rfam family "Bacterial small subunit ribosomal RNA", at positions 1089 to 1382 of the family's 1533-position model. Lineage: Bacteria; Pseudomonadati; Bacteroidota; Sphingobacteriia; Sphingobacteriales. The record is from RNAcentral.
AUAACGAGCGCAAUCCUACCCUUUAGUUGCCAUCAGGUAAGUGCUGGGGACGUCUAAAGGAACUGCCUACGCAAGUAGUGAGGAAGGCGGGGAGUGACGUCAAAUCAGCACGGCCCUUACGUCCAGGGCUACACACGUGCUACAAUGGCCGAUACAGAGGGCAGCUACCUGGUGACAGGAUGCAAAUCUCCAAAGUCGGUCUCAGUUCGGAUCGGAGUCUGCAACCCGACUCCGUGAAGUUGGAUUCGCUAGUAAUCGCGCAUCAGCCAUGGCGCGGUGAAUACGUUCCCGGGCCUU